AUCUUGCGCAAUGGGCGAAAGCCUGACGCAGCCAUGCCGCGUGAAUGAUGAAGGUCUUAGGAUUGUAAAGCUCUUUCAGUGGGGACGAUAAUGACGGUACCCACAGAAGAAGCCCCGGCUAACUUCGUGCCAGCAGCCGCGGUAAUACGAAGGGGGCUAGCGUUGUUCGGAUUUACUGGGCGUAAAGCGCACGUAGGCGGAUUGUUAAGUGAGGGGUGAAAUCCCAGGGCUCAACCCUGGAACUGCCUUUCAUACUGGCAAUCUUGAGUCCGGAAGAGGUGAGUGGAACUCCUAGUGUAGAGGUGGAAUUCGUAGAUAUUAGGAAGAACACCAGUGGCGAAGGCGGCUCACUGGUCCGGUACUGACGCUGAGGUGCGAAAGCGUGGGGAGCAAACAGG
This 398-nucleotide ribosomal RNA is filed under the name uncultured bacterium. RNAcentral's name for it is "bacterial SSU rRNA". It matches the Rfam family "Bacterial small subunit ribosomal RNA", at positions 361 to 776 of the family's 1533-position model. The record is from RNAcentral.